GAUGAACGCUGGCGGCGCGCUUAACACAUGCAAGUCGAACGGUGAAGCACAGCUUGCUCUGUGGAUCAGUGGCGAACGGGUGAGUAACACGUGAGCAACCUGCCCCUGACUCUGGCAUACGCGCUGGAAACGGCGUCUAAUACUGGAUAUGAGCUGCGACCGCAUGGUCAGCAGUUGGAAAGAUUUUUCGGUCUGGGAUGCGCUCACGGCCUAUCAGCUUGGUGGUGAGGUAAUGGUUCACCGAGGCGUCCACUGGUAGCCGGCCUGAGAGGGUGACCGGGCACACUGGGACUGAGACACUGCCCACACUCCUACGGGAGGCAGCAGUGGGGAAUAUAGCACAAUGGGCGAAAGCCUGAUGCCGCGACGCCGCGUGAGGGAUGACGGCCUUCGGGUUGUAAACCUCUUUUAGCAGGGAAGAAGCGAAAGUGACGGUACCUGCAGAAAAAGCGCCGGCUCACUACGUGCCAGCAGUCGCGGUAAUACGUACGGCGCAAGCGUCAUCCGGAAUUAUUGGGCGUAAAGAGCUCGUAGGCGGUUUGUCACGUCUGCUGUGAAAUCCCCGAGGCUCAACCUCGGGUCUGCAGUGGGUACGGGCAGACUAGAGUGCCCCACGGGAGAUUGGAAUUCCUGGUGUAGCGGUGGAAUGCGCAAAUAUCAGGAGGAACACCGAUGGCGAAGGCAGAUCUCUGGGCCGUUACUGACGCUGAGGAGCGAAAGGGUGGGGAGCAAACAGGCUUAGAUACCCUGGUAGUCCACCCCGUAAACGUUGGGAACUAGUUGUGGGGUCCAUUCCACGGAUUCCGUGACGCAGCUAACGCAUUAAGUUCCCCGCCUGGGGAGUACGGCCGCAAGGCUAAAACUCAAAGGAAUUGACGGGGACCCGCACAAGCGGCGGAGCAUGCGGAUUAAUUCGAUGCAACGCGAAGAACCUUACCAAGGCUUGACAUAUACGAGAACGGGCCAGAAAUGGGCGACUCUUUGGACACUCGUAAACAGGUGGUGCAUGGUCGUCGUCAGCUCGUGUCGUGAGAUGUUGGGUUAAGUCCCGCAACGAGCGCAACCCUCGCUCUAUGUUGCCAGCACGUAAUGGUGGGAACUCAUGGGAUACUGCCGGGGUCAACUCGGAGGAAGGUGGGGAUGACGUCAAAUCAUCAUGCCCCUUAUGUCUGGGGCUUCACGCAUGCUACAAUGGCCGGUACAAAGGGCUGCAAUACCGCGAGGUGGAGCGAAUCCCAAAAAGCCGGUCCCAGUUCGGAUUGAGGUCUGCAACUCGACCUCAUGAAGUCGGAGUCGCUAGUAAUCGCAGAUCAGCAACGAUGCGGCGAAUACGUUCCCGG
RNAcentral lists this ribosomal RNA (1340 nucleotides) under uncultured bacterium. Its description in RNAcentral is "16S ribosomal RNA". It matches the Rfam family "Bacterial small subunit ribosomal RNA", at positions 28 to 1377 of the family's 1533-position model. The record is from RNAcentral.